GACGAACGCUGGCGGCGUGCCUAAUACAUGCAAGUCGAACGCUUUUUCUUUCACCGGAGCUUGCUCCACCGAAAGAAAAAGAGUGGCGAACGGGUGAGUAACACGUGGGUAACCUGCCCAUCAGAAGGGGAUAACACUUGGAAACAGGUGCUAAUACCGUAUAACACUAUUUUCCGCAUGGGAGAAAGUUGAAAGGCGCUUUUGCGUCACUGAUGGAUGGACACGCGGUGCAUUAGCUAGUUGGUGAGGUAACGGCUCACCAAGGCAACGAUGCAUAGCCGACCUGAGAGGGUGAUCGGCCACACUGGAGCUGAGACACGGCCCAGACUCCUACGGGAGGCAGCAGUAGGGAAUCUUCGGCAAUGGACGAAAGUCUGACCGAGCAACGCCGCGUGAGUGAAGAAGGUUUUCGGAUCGUAAAACUCUGUUGUUAGAGAAGAACAAGGAUGAGAGUAAAAUGUUCAUCCCUUGACGGUAUCUAACCAGAAAGCCACGGCUAACUACGUGCCAGCAGCCGCAGUAA
Molecule: ribosomal RNA, 523 nt
Filed under: uncultured bacterium
Lineage: Bacteria
Description: partial 16S ribosomal RNA
Rfam family: Bacterial small subunit ribosomal RNA
Source: RNAcentral